RNAcentral lists this ribosomal RNA (465 nucleotides) under uncultured bacterium. RNAcentral's name for it is "bacterial SSU rRNA". It matches the Rfam family "Bacterial small subunit ribosomal RNA", at positions 338 to 795 of the family's 1533-position model. The record is from RNAcentral.
CCUACGGGUUGCAGCAGUGGGGAAUAUUGCACAAUGGGCGCAAGCCUGAUGCAGCCAUGCCGCGUGUAUGAAGAAGGCCUUAGGGUUGUAAAGUACUUUCAGUUGGGAGGAAGGCGUUGAUGCUAAUAUCAUCAGCGAUUGACGUUACCAACAGAAGAAGCACCGGCUAACUCCGUGCCAGCAGCCGCGGUAAUACGGAGGGUGCAAGCGUUAAUCGGAAUUACUGGGCGUAAAGCGCACGCAGGCGGUUGAUUAAGUUAGAUGUGAAAUCCCCGGGCUUAACCUGGGAAUGGCAUCUAAGACUGGUCAGCUAGAGUCUUGUAGAGGGGGGUAGAAUUCCAUGUGUAGCGGUGAAAUGCGUAGAGAUGUGGAGGAAUACCGGUGGCGAAGGCAGCCCCCUGGACAAAGACUGACGCUCAGGUGCGAAAGCGUGGGGAGCAAACAGGAUUAGAUACCCGUGUAGUC